AUAUUUAUUGAUUUUUGUUUAUUAAAAUUAAUUUUUUUUCUAUUAAUAUUAAGAAAAAAUUUUUUUUAUGAUAGUUUAAUAGUACUGAAAAGGAAAUUUAUUAUUAAUAAAAAAGAAGAAUUUAAUUUUUGUACCUUGUGUCUCAUGGUCUAUUAAAAUUAUUUUAUAAUUAUAAUUUUCCCGAAUUAAAAAGAGCUAAAUUAAAAUAAAUAUUAUUGUAGCAAAAAUAUUUAAAAUUUUUAUUUAGGUGUGAUAUGCAAUUCAAUUUUUAUAAUAUCUGGUUUUUUUAAAAAAAAGUCUAAUUUUUCUAUUAAAUAUAAAAUAAUUAAGUUUUUAAUUUUUUUAAUUUAAUAGUAAUACUUUAGGGGAUAAGCUUUAAAGUAUACAAUAUAAAUUAUUUUUUUUUACAAUUAUUUAGGAUUAAAAAUUUCUAUAUUUUAAAGUUUUUUAUUAUUUUUUUGUUAUUAUUAAAAUUUAUAUAUAAUUUUAUUUUUUUAAGAAAAUAAUUUUUAAAAUUUUUUUUAAAAUUUAAUAAUGAUAGAAUUAGUAUUUUAUAUGUAAUUUGUUUAUUUUUUUUUAAUUAAGCAAAGGAAUUCGGCAAAAUUUUACUCACCUGUUUAUUAAAAACAUGUCUUUUUGAUUUAUAAUUUUAAGUUUAACCUGCCCAAUGAAUUUUUAAUGGCUGCAGUAUUUUGACUGUACAAAGGUAGCAUAAUCAUUAGUUUUUUGAUUGAAAGCUGGAAUGAAGGGUUGGAUGAGGUAAAAACUGUCUCUGUUUAAACAAAAAAAUUUUAUUUUUAAGUGAAAAAGCUUAAAUAUUUAAAGAAGACGAUAAGACCCUAUAGAAUUUUAUAUUUUUUUUUAUUUGAUUAAUAAGUAUUUAAAUUUGAAUUUUAAAAAAUAUUUUAUUGGGGUGAUAAAAAAAUUUAAUAAACUUUUUAUUUUUAAACAUUAAUUUAUGAAAAUUUGAUCCUUUAUUAAGAUUAUAAGAUAAAUUACCUUAGGGAUAACAGCGUAAUUUCUUUUUAGAGUUCAAAUCGAAAAUGAAGUUUGCGACCUCGAUGUUGGAUUAAAAUUUAUAUUUGGCGCAAAAGCUUUAUAAUUGGGUCUGUUCGACCUUUAAAAUUUUACAUGAUCUGAGUUUAGACCGGCGUGAGCCAGGUUGGUUUCUAUCUCUUUAAUUUAAAAAUUUUUUAGUACGAAAGGACCAAAAAUUUUUUUUAAAAAAUAUUUUUUGAUUAAAAUUAUUAUUUU
RNAcentral lists this ribosomal RNA (1254 nucleotides) under Platypodinae sp. BMNH 1274715. Its description in RNAcentral is "16S ribosomal RNA". The stretch from base 1006 to 1164 matches the Rfam family "Archaeal large subunit ribosomal RNA", at positions 2542 to 2701 of the family's 2987-position model. The record is from RNAcentral. Lineage: Eukaryota; Metazoa; Arthropoda; Insecta; Coleoptera; Curculionidae.